RNAcentral lists this ribosomal RNA (252 nucleotides) under uncultured bacterium. RNAcentral describes it as "partial 16S ribosomal RNA". It matches the Rfam family "Bacterial small subunit ribosomal RNA", at positions 524 to 776 of the family's 1533-position model. The record is from RNAcentral.
UACGGAGGAUGCGAGCGUUAUCCGGAUUUAUUGGGUUUAAAGGGUGCGUAGGCGGUCCGUUAAGUCAGCGGUAAAAUUGCGGGGCUCAACCCCGUCGAGCCGUUGAAACUGUCAGACUUGAGUUGGCGAGAAGUAUGCGGAAUGCGUGGUGUAGCGGUGAAAUGCAUAGAUAUCACGCAGAACUCCGAUUGCGAAGGCAGCAUACCGGCGCCCUACUGACGCUGAGGCACGAAAGCGUGGGUAUCGAACAGG